Non-coding RNA from Dipodomys ordii (Ord's kangaroo rat), 65 nucleotides. Lineage: Eukaryota; Metazoa; Chordata; Mammalia; Rodentia; Heteromyidae. The record is from Rfam.
GGUGGUUCAGUGGUAGAGUGCUUGCCUUGCAUGCAUGAGGCCCGAGGUUCGAUUCCUCAGUACCA